RNAcentral lists this ribosomal RNA (160 nucleotides) under Enterobacter mori. RNAcentral's name for it is "partial 16S ribosomal RNA". It matches the Rfam family "Bacterial small subunit ribosomal RNA", at positions 1114 to 1274 of the family's 1533-position model. Lineage: Bacteria; Pseudomonadati; Pseudomonadota; Gammaproteobacteria; Enterobacterales; Enterobacteriaceae. The record is from RNAcentral.
GUUGCCAGCGGUUCGGCCGGGAACUCAAAGGAGACUGCCAGUGAUAAACUGGAGGAAGGUGGGGAUGACGUCAAGUCAUCAUGGCCCUUACGAGUAGGGCUACACACGUGCUACAAUGGCGCAUACAAAGAGAAGCGACCUCGCGAGAGCAAGCGGACCU